RNAcentral lists this ribosomal RNA (367 nucleotides) under uncultured bacterium. RNAcentral describes it as "bacterial SSU rRNA". It matches the Rfam family "Bacterial small subunit ribosomal RNA", at positions 527 to 896 of the family's 1533-position model. The record is from RNAcentral.
GGAGGAUCCGAGCGUUAUCCGGAAUUAUUGGGUUUAAAGGGUGCGUAGGCGGCCAGAUAAGUCAGGGGUGAAAGUCGGCAGCUCAACUGUCGCAGUGCCUUUGAUACUGUUUGGCUUGAAUUCGGUUGAAGAUGGCGGAAUGAGACAAGUAGCGGUGAAAUGCAUAGAUAUGUCUCAGAACCCCGAUUGCGAAGGCAGUUAUCUAAGCCGUUAUUGACGCUGAUGCACGAAAGCGUGGGUAGCAAACAGGAUUAGAUACCCUGGUAGUCCACGCCCUAAACGAUGAUAACUCGAUGUUGGCGAUAUACAGUCAGCGUCUUAGCGAAAGCGUUAAGUUAUCCACCUGGGGAGUACGCCGGCAACGGUG